This 466-nucleotide ribosomal RNA is filed under the name uncultured bacterium. Its description in RNAcentral is "partial 16S ribosomal RNA". It matches the Rfam family "Bacterial small subunit ribosomal RNA", at positions 28 to 507 of the family's 1533-position model. The record is from RNAcentral.
GAUGAACGCUGGCGGCGUGCUUAACACAUGCAAGUCGAACGAUGAAGCCCAGCUUGCUGGGUGGAUUAGUGGCGAACGGGUGAGUAACACGUGAGUAACCUGCCCUUAACUCUGGGAUAAGCCUGGGAAACUGGGUCUAAUACCGGAUAGGAGCGCCUACCGCAUGGUGGGUGUUGGAAAGAUUUAUCGGUUUUGGAUGGACUCGCGGCCUAUCAGCUUGUUGGUGAGGUAAUGGCUCACCAAGGCGACGACGGGUAGCCGGCCUGAGAGGGUGACCGGCCACACUGGGACUGAGACACGGCCCAUACUCCUACGGGAGGCAGCAGUGGGGAAUAUUGCACAAUGGGCGAAAGCCUGAUGCAGCGACGCCGCGUGAGGGAUGACGGCCUUCGGGUUGUAAACCUCUUUCAGUAGGGAAGAAGCGAAAGUGACGGUACCUGCAGAAGAAGCACCGGCUAACUACGUG